RNAcentral lists this ribosomal RNA (927 nucleotides) under Arthrobotrys sp. Its description in RNAcentral is "partial large subunit ribosomal RNA". Lineage: Eukaryota; Fungi; Ascomycota; Orbiliomycetes; Orbiliales; Orbiliaceae. The record is from RNAcentral.
AUCGUAAGUAGGAGCACGGGAUUGCCUCAGUAACGGCGAGUGAAAGCGGCAACAGCUCAAAUUUGAAAUUCUGGAGCCUUYGGSUUUCCGAGUUGUAAUUUGAAGAGGAUGUUUCGGUGCGGCCUGGGCCUAAGUUCCUUGGAACAGGACGUCAUGGAGGGUGAGAAUCCCGUACAUGGCUGCAGGCUUGCUUCUAUGUGAAACACCUUCGAAGAGUCGAGUUGUUUGGGAAUGCAGCUCAAAAUGGGUGGUAAAUUUCAUCUAAAGCUAAAUAUUGGCGGGAGACCGAUAGCGCACAAGUAGAGUGAUCGAAAGAUGAAAAGCACUUUGAAAAGAGAGUUAAACAGUACGUGAAAUUGUUGAAAGGGAAGCGCUUGCAAUCAGACUCGCCUUCAGUUGAUCAGCCUUCCUUCUGGUUGGUGCACUCUGCUGUUGGCGGGCCAGCAUCGGUUGGGGCGGCGGGACAAAGGCGGCAGGAAUGUGGCUCCCCCGGGAGUGUUAUAGCCUGCCGUGCCAUGCCGCCAGCCCCGACUGAGGUCCGCGGUUCGCCUAGGAUGCUGGCUUAAUGGUUGUAAGCGACCCGUCUUGAAACACGGACCAAGGAGUCUAACAUCUAUGCGAGUCUUUGGGUGUAAAACCCAUGGGCGAAAUGAAAGUGAACGGAGGUGGGAGUCCUCGGAUGCACCAUCGACCGAUCCUGAUGUUCUCGGAUGGAUUUGAGUAGGAGCAUAGCUGUUGGGACCCGAAAGAUGGUGAACUAUGCCUGAAUAGGGUGAAGCCAGAGGAAACUCUGGUGGAGGCUCGCAGCGGUUCUGACGUGCAAAUCGAUCGUCAAAUUUGGGUAUAGGGGCGAAAGACUAAUCGAACCAUCUAAUACUGGUCUCCACCCCCCCCCCCCCCAAAAAAAAAAAAAAAAAAUUUUUCCAC